AUUGAACGCUGGCGGCAGGCCUAACACAUGCAAGUCGAACGGUAACAGGAAGCAGCUUGCUGCUUCGCUGACGAGUGGCGGACGGGUGAGUAAUGUCUGGGAAACUGCCUGAUGGAGGGGGAUAACUACUGGAAACGGUAGCUAAUACCGCAUAACGUCGCAAGACCAAAGAGGGGGACCUUAGGGCCUCUUGCCAUCGGAUGUGCCCAGAUGGGAUUAGCUAGUAGGUGGGGUAACGGCUCACCUAGGCGACGAUCCCUAGCUGGUCUGAGAGGAUGACCAGCCACACCGGAACUGAGACACGGUCCAGACUCCUACGGGAGGCAGCAGUGGGGAAUAUUGCACAAUGGGCGCAAGCCUGAUGCAGCCAUGCCGCGUGUAUGAAGAAGGCCUUCGGGUUGUAAAGUACUUUCAGCGGGGAGGAAGGGAGUAAAGUUAAUACCUUUGCUCAUUGACGUUACCCGCAGAAGAAGCACCGGCUAACUCCGUG
RNAcentral lists this ribosomal RNA (490 nucleotides) under uncultured bacterium. RNAcentral describes it as "partial 16S ribosomal RNA". It matches the Rfam family "Bacterial small subunit ribosomal RNA", at positions 30 to 507 of the family's 1533-position model. The record is from RNAcentral.